Molecule: long non-coding RNA, 1149 nt
Filed under: Pelusios castaneus (West African mud turtle)
Lineage: Eukaryota; Metazoa; Chordata; Testudines; Pelomedusidae
Description: lncRNA (ENSPCEG00000015681.1)
Source: RNAcentral
AUGGGGUGCUCCCUGCAGAGUGUCCUAGCGCUGUGUUGGAAAGGGAGGCGGCUCUGGGAGAAGGUGGCCGGAGGGCAGCUAAGACUCCAUUGUGCCUGGCACUGGACACAGCCACAGUCACUGAGGUUUGGGAUCCCUGCACCCCAUGGGAGGCGAAUUGGUUCGGCUGCCAAGCUCCAUGGAUCUUUGAAGAAUUUGGCCCCUCACUGGCUCCAAGGCCCUGACUCUAAGACCUAGGCACUACUGGCAUGGAUCUCAAGCCAGCGAGGAUUCCCUAGUGCGCAGUGACUCAAGCUACAUUAGUGUUUGCACCUAUUUACCACUGCCGUGGUGCUGUGAUUGUGGAAGUCUUCCUUGCCCGCAGAAACAAGUAUGCUGUGCUUAGUGUUGUGAGCCAGCCUGGGCUAAACAGAGCGCUGGUGAACAGGGGAGGUCCUAGGUGAUUUGAUGACAAUUCAGGGAAUGCAAAUAAGGAGAAGAUUUUCAAUUCCUGCAGCUGUGCCAAGCAGGAGUAGUAUUUAGGAGAGCGUCCUGGGUCAACACUGGAAUGGGAAGGUAGCUGGGAGCUCCCUGUCCCCCAGCUGCUCAGUGGCUCAUGAGAUGUGGUAGGAACUCACUAUAUUCCAUCAGCCUCAUUUUAAAGGAUCCUAUGUAGUAACAAAUAAGGAGUCCUGUGGCUCUUUUAAAGAGUAACAAAUGUAUUAGUGCGUAAGUUUUAGUGGAUGAAGUGCAUUAGAACUCACCAAAGCUUAUGCUCUAAUAAAUUGGUUAGUCUUCAUAAGGCCCACAGGACUCCUUAUUUGUUUUGCUGAAUUAGACUAACACGGCUACCCUGCUGUAUGUAGUAACAACACAGCACGUGUGUGUGUCUGCCCCCCCCCCCCCCCCCCGCUCCCCAGGGUUGCCAACCUUGCAUUUUAGUUUUUACCGACAUGAAGACUGGAAAUUGACUAUUUUUUUACUGACAUGGGAAUUUUUUUCUUGACGUCACUAAAAUACCAGAAGCAAUACAGUAAUGUCACACAAGUGUGUACUCAUGAUAUUCUGUACACAGGGAUUUGGAAAUAGUUUUAGCUGCAGUUAAUUGUUCAGUCGGGUUCUUUGGGCAUCUGCAAUAAUAGACACUGACACACAGUUACUGGAGGGGAG